This 389-nucleotide unclassified non-coding RNA is filed under the name soil metagenome. RNAcentral's name for it is "partial contains 5.8S ribosomal RNA, internal transcribed spacer 2, and large subunit ribosomal RNA". The stretch from base 3 to 123 matches the Rfam family "5.8S ribosomal RNA", at positions 36 to 154 of the family's 154-position model. The record is from RNAcentral.
GAAUGAAGAACGUAGCGAAAUGCGAUACUUGGUGUGAAUUGCAGAAUCCCGUGAACCAUCGAGUUUUUGAACGCAAGUUGCGCCCGAAGCCGUUAGGCCGAGGGCACGUCUGCCUGGGCAUCACACGUCGUUGCCCCUCCCAACCCCUUCGGGAGUUGGAUGGGACGGAUGAUGGCCUCCCGUGUGCCCGGUCACGCGGUUGGCAUAAAUAACAAGUCCUCGGCGACUACCGCCACGACAAUCGGUGGUUGUCAAACCCCGGUAUCCUGUCGCGCGCGUGUCGUUCGUGGAUUUCCUAUCCAAUGCGUGUCGAUUCGUCGAUGCUUUCAACGCGACCCCAGGUCAGGCGGGGUUACCCGCUGAAUUUAAGCAUAUCAAUAAGCGGAGGA